GCUCCCUUAGCUCAGCUGGAUAGAGCAGCUGCCUUCUAAGCAGCCGGCCGCAGGUUCGAAUCCUGCAGGGGGCGUCA
This 77-nucleotide transfer RNA is filed under the name Cyanobium sp. CACIAM 14. Its description in RNAcentral is "tRNA-Arg". It matches the Rfam family "tRNA". From Rfam's summary of the family: Transfer RNA (tRNA) molecules are approximately 80 nucleotides in length. Their secondary structure includes four short double-helical elements and three loops (D, anti-codon, and T loops). Further hydrogen bonds mediate the characteristic L-shaped molecular structure. tRNAs have two regions of fundamental functional importance: the anti-codon, which is responsible for specific mRNA codon recognition, and the 3' end, to which the tRNAs corresponding amino acid is attached (by aminoacyl-tRNA synthetases). tRNAs cope with the degeneracy of the genetic code in two manners: having more than one tRNA (with a specific anti-codon) for a particular amino acid; and 'wobble' base-pairing, i.e. permitting non-standard base-pairing at the 3rd anti-codon position. Lineage: Bacteria; Bacillati; Cyanobacteriota; Cyanophyceae; Synechococcales; Prochlorococcaceae. The record is from RNAcentral.